AUGGGGCAAGGGAACUAUGUUCUUCUGUUAUUUGAUAAUUGGGAUGGUAACAGAUUCAUUGAUAGAUUCCCUGAGCUUCAUUCUUUUGUUGUGAAUGACCAAUUCUCAAUUGAGCAAGCAUUGCACAUCAACCCUCCAGAGGAUCUAUUCCAUAGGCCACUCUCCACCCAAACUUUCCAGCAGUUCCAGGGUUCCCAAAACUUUAUGAAUAAUAUUCAGUUUUCUGGCUCCAAAGACAAAUGGUCUUACAUCUGGGGAUCUUCUCAGUCCUCUAUUGCAAAGGUUUACAAAACCUUGAGGGUUAAACCACCUACACCACCUCUCUUCAACCUGUUAUGGAAGAGCUCAGUAAUCCUUUGA
This 360-nucleotide ribosomal RNA is filed under the name Triticum aestivum (bread wheat). RNAcentral describes it as "partial small subunit ribosomal RNA". Lineage: Eukaryota; Viridiplantae; Streptophyta; Magnoliopsida; Poales; Poaceae. The record is from RNAcentral.